RNAcentral lists this long non-coding RNA (540 nucleotides) under Homo sapiens (human). Its description in RNAcentral is "long non-coding RNA NONHSAT220512". Lineage: Eukaryota; Metazoa; Chordata; Mammalia; Primates; Hominidae. The record is from RNAcentral.
AGGUAUAACAAGAAGGGAGUCAAGUUUUGGUCUUUUCAGUUCUCAGCAUUUUGCCCCAGAGAGUUAUUAACAGCUUUUGCAAGUCAGAAGUAAAAAUGAAAGUGGAACUCAAACCAUGCUCUGACCCAAACUUAUGUUUGAGGACGACGUAGGCUCAUUGGGUGUAGGUUGAACUGAGUGGUCCCUAAGUGAAAGGAGAUGAAAAUUGAAGGAAGAAGAGGGGCAAAAAUCCCCAACACUAAGAGUAGGAAGAUGAGCUGGAUGGUUUCUACAAAUGGCAGACAGGACUCCCGAAUGGGAAGAGAAGAGGGAAACUGGCUGCAGGAUACAGAAGUAGGUUAACUGUUGAACCACGAGGUGUUGGCAACAGUAGUGAACAUUUCAUUUAUUAGGCCUGGGGUUGGAGAACAGGAGUCAGAAAACUCCAAUUCCACACAUGGCACCAUGCCUAAAAGAUGGUGGGGGGCAGAAUUGGUGGAAACAUCAGCUGAUCAGAGGAGACACAGCCCCAGUGGUAACUGCUAUGAAUUAAGAGUUUGG